This 77-nucleotide non-coding RNA is filed under the name Dactylococcopsis salina PCC 8305. The record is from RNAcentral. Lineage: Bacteria; Bacillati; Cyanobacteriota; Cyanophyceae; Nodosilineales; Cymatolegaceae.
AGGAGCGGUAUGAAGCGAAAGUUUCACGUACCGUUCUGAAGCCGAGUCAAGAGGGCGACCUCUUGGCUUAGGUUAAC